This 268-nucleotide long non-coding RNA is filed under the name Phaseolus vulgaris (common bean). RNAcentral describes it as "long non-coding RNA (PVUL_LNC000884)". The record is from RNAcentral. Lineage: Eukaryota; Viridiplantae; Streptophyta; Magnoliopsida; Fabales; Fabaceae.
GAAGUGAUUUGAGUGCAGCAUGCCCUGACAGAGGGACAGAGGAAACCCCACACCAAGGAUGGAUAACUAAAACUGAUGAAUAAAUUUAUGGAAUACACGCACGAAUAGUGUCCAUGUUGUUUGACAUAACACACUCGGUUGCGAACAACAUGUUGAAGCUAACUUUUGUCUGGUGGACAUCAUCCGACACGUGUAAGACAAUCCUAGGCAAUUCAUGACUACGUUCUCUGCUCUUACUUUAAUUCCAAGCUUGCGUCAUAUGUUAUUG